This 257-nucleotide ribosomal RNA is filed under the name uncultured bacterium. Its description in RNAcentral is "partial 16S ribosomal RNA". It matches the Rfam family "Bacterial small subunit ribosomal RNA", at positions 524 to 776 of the family's 1533-position model. The record is from RNAcentral.
UACGAAGGGGGCUAGCGUUGCUCGGAAUACUGGGCGUAAAGCGUGCGCAGGCGGUGAUGUAAGACAGGUGUGAAAUCCCCGGGCUUAACCUGGGAACUGCAUUUGUGACUGCAUCGCUGGAGUGCGGGCAGAGGGGGAUGGAAUUCCGCGUGUAGCGGUGGAAUGCGCAGAUAUCAGGAGGAACACCGGUGGCGAAGGCGGGGUCUCUGGGCCGUAACUGACGCUGGAGGAGCGAAAGCCAUGGGGGAGCGAACAGG